CGCCGGCGGUUCGCCGCCGGUGACGUUGUGAGAAGUUCAUUAAACCUUAUCAUUUAGAGGAAGGAGAAGUCGUAACAAGGUUUCCGUAGGUGAACCUGCGGAAGGAUCAUUGCACACACAAGUUGCAGCCAACCCACGGCGAACGAACACAUUGUCCCCUCGGCGGGUCGUGGCGCCUCGCGGCGUCGCGGCCGGCCACCUCCCUUCGCCCUCGCGGCGUCGGGUUUCCACGAUGAAUCCACCCCAAGUGACUGAGUCCCGAAUUCGACUUCGUGAAGAGGAGUGAGCUCCGUCCCCUCGGCUUCGGCGGAGGGGGCCGGCGCUGGUUACCUUGCGAGUUGAAACACUUAACCAAAAACAACUCUCAGCAACGGAUAUCUUGGCUCUUGCAACGAUGAAGAACGCAGCGAAAUGCGAUACGUAGUGUGAAUUGCAGAAUUCCGCGAAUCAUCGAGUCUUUGAACGCAAGUUGCGCCCGAGGCUUGUCCAAGGGCAUUUCCGCUAGAGCGUCACCGCGCCCCCCACCGGCCCACUCCCCCAAUCGGGAGUCGGGUCGAGUGAAGGUGGCCGUCCCGGCGGUCCUCCUCGUCUCGCGGGAAGGAGGAAGGGUCCAAGGGUCGGCUGAAAUGGAAGGAAUCGGGCCGCCGUGGCGACACAGUCCGCGAUCGGGUGAUCCGAGCUCCUCCGGGAGCCCGGAGUUUUUCUAAGUGUUGGCUGCGUCGCCCAGUCGGUUUCCCAGGUUACCUCGUGCAGGUCGAGCGCGCGCCCCCGCGGCGCGCGCGUCACGUCACGCAUCAGACCUUCUUAAUCGGAAAAA
Molecule: ribosomal RNA, 817 nt
Filed under: Pseudohygrohypnum subeugyrium
Lineage: Eukaryota; Viridiplantae; Streptophyta; Bryopsida; Hypnales; Pylaisiaceae
Description: eukaryotic LSU rRNA
Rfam family: 5.8S ribosomal RNA (bases 360-512)
Source: RNAcentral